AGAGUUUGAUCCUGGCUCAGAUUGAACGCUGGCGGCAUGCUUUACACAUGCAAGUCGGACGGCAGCACAGAGAAGCUUGCUUCUUGGGUGGCGAGUGGCGAACGGGUGAGUAACAUAUCGGAACGUACCGAGCAGUGGGGGAUAACUAAUCGAAAGAUUAGCUAAUACCGCAUAUAUUCUGAGGAAGAAAGCAGGGGACCAUUUGGCCUUGCGCUGUUUGAGCGGCCGAUAUCUGAUUAGCUAGUUGGUGGGGUAAAGGCCUACCAAGGCGACGAUCAGUAGCGGGUCUGAGAGGAUGAUCCGCCACACUGGGACUGAGACACGGCCCAGACUCCUACGGGAGGCAGCAGUGGGGAAUUUUGGACAAUGGGCGCAAGCCUGAUCCAGCCAUGCCGCGUGUCUGAAGAAGGCCUUCGGGUUGUAAAGGACUUUUGUCAGGGAAGAAAAGGGCGGGGUUAAUACCCCUGUCUGAUGACGGUACCUGAAGAAUAAGCACCGGCUAACUACGUGCCAGCAGCCGCGGU
Molecule: ribosomal RNA, 524 nt
Filed under: Neisseria sp. oral clone BP2-72
Lineage: Bacteria; Pseudomonadati; Pseudomonadota; Betaproteobacteria; Neisseriales; Neisseriaceae
Description: bacterial SSU rRNA
Rfam family: Bacterial small subunit ribosomal RNA
Source: RNAcentral